GGGCCUGUAGCUCAGUUGGUAGAGCGCCACGUUUACACCGUGGAUGUCGUCGGUUCGAGUCCGGCCGGGCCCA
RNAcentral lists this transfer RNA (73 nucleotides) under Xylanimonas cellulosilytica DSM 15894. It matches the Rfam family "tRNA". Rfam says of the family: Transfer RNA (tRNA) molecules are approximately 80 nucleotides in length. Their secondary structure includes four short double-helical elements and three loops (D, anti-codon, and T loops). Further hydrogen bonds mediate the characteristic L-shaped molecular structure. tRNAs have two regions of fundamental functional importance: the anti-codon, which is responsible for specific mRNA codon recognition, and the 3' end, to which the tRNAs corresponding amino acid is attached (by aminoacyl-tRNA synthetases). tRNAs cope with the degeneracy of the genetic code in two manners: having more than one tRNA (with a specific anti-codon) for a particular amino acid; and 'wobble' base-pairing, i.e. permitting non-standard base-pairing at the 3rd anti-codon position. Lineage: Bacteria; Bacillati; Actinomycetota; Actinomycetes; Micrococcales; Promicromonosporaceae. RNAcentral also lists the same sequence under 1 other name. The record is from Rfam by way of RNAcentral.